ACACAAGGGUGUGGAAUCAAUGCUUCAAGCUAUCAUAGAUUGGGUUACUACAAUAGGUGUGGAUAUAUAUCUCUUGCAUCAAUUCAUGGCGGCAUUUGGAAAGGAAUGUGGAAAAAGAGCCUAGUGAAAAUGUCAAUAUCUAAAGUUCCAUGGGUAUGUAUGGUUCUCCAAUUUAAGUAGUUGAAGGUGGGAGUUUAGUCAUG
This 203-nucleotide long non-coding RNA is filed under the name Capsicum annuum. Its description in RNAcentral is "long non-coding RNA (CANN_LNC002339)". Lineage: Eukaryota; Viridiplantae; Streptophyta; Magnoliopsida; Solanales; Solanaceae. The record is from RNAcentral.